UAUUAUAUUACAUGUAGAUGUAAUGAGAAGCCUGAGUAGUAAUAGUUAUGUUCUUGAAACUUAAAGAAUUUGGCGGUAUUUUAGUCCUUUCAGAGGAACCUGUUCUGUAAUUGACAGUACACGAUUUUCUUUACUUCUUUUGGUUUAGCUUGUAUACCGCCGUCAUAAGAUUAUCUUUUAGGAGAGUUGAAAAUUUCUUUAUUUUUAAUUAAAUUGUAUGUCAGGUCAAGGUGCAGUUUAUGGGGAAGAAGAAAUGGGUUACAAUAAUAAUAAUUAUACGGAGAAUUGUAGUGAUUGUAAUUUGAAGGUGGAUUUGAUUGUAAAGUUUGUUUUGAAUAAGCAUUUUGAUUUGGGCUCUAAAAUGUGCACACAUCGCCCGUCGCUCUCAUUAUAAUGUGAG
Molecule: ribosomal RNA, 400 nt
Filed under: Phaeophilacris sp. n. Gha
Lineage: Eukaryota; Metazoa; Arthropoda; Insecta; Orthoptera; Phalangopsidae
Description: partial 12S ribosomal RNA
Source: RNAcentral